RNAcentral lists this long non-coding RNA (622 nucleotides) under Daucus carota (carrot). RNAcentral describes it as "long non-coding RNA (DCAR_LNC006469)". The record is from RNAcentral. Lineage: Eukaryota; Viridiplantae; Streptophyta; Magnoliopsida; Apiales; Apiaceae.
GAUACUGUCAUAUACUCUCAGGGGUACUCUUGGCCAGGAAUAUCACUGAUCCAAGCACUCCCAGUGUAGCAGCAGUUCUCAGAGGUUCACAAAAUGUAUGCAGACCACCGAGAAGACCAAUCCCUGAGGAAGGUAAACACUAUACCAUAUAAGUAUGACAACAAUAAAACCUCCAACAUUCUUAAUUAAUUAUUAUUAUUGCGCUCUUAGAAACGAUUUACACUUGUAGAUAGACGACUAAUUCUAAGAAUCCAGAUCUUACCUGGGUACUUAAAUUUCAAUAUCCACUGCCUGGCCACGGCAAGGUACAACGAUCUAUCCAAGUACCUAACAGAUGAACAAAAAAGGAGGGACUCUGAAAAAAGAAGAAGUGAAUCUAAGCUAGAAAGCAUCUACGUCAGCGAACCUCAGCAGAAUGUCAAAGAAGUCGUCAUGGUAAUCACUUUUCACUUUAGGAAUUUAAAAUGUGAAACAUAGGCUUUUAAUUGAUUGUUUUUAUAUCUAUGAUUUAGGAGAUCAAAAACCUACCCUUCCGGAAGAGGGUAGGUUUUUUUACUUUGGGCGGAAAAAAUUCUCGCUUACAGUGGUGAAUUUUUUUGAAUAAUAAUUGACUAAUUUCGGU